Molecule: long non-coding RNA, 3077 nt
Organism: Cercocebus atys (sooty mangabey)
Lineage: Eukaryota; Metazoa; Chordata; Mammalia; Primates; Cercopithecidae
Exons: 2
Source: RefSeq, a predicted model, not a curated record
AGGCUGGUCUCAAACUCCUGACCUCAAGUGAUCUGCAUACCUCAGCCUCCCAAAGUACUGGGAUUACAGGAGUGUGGCUCAGCCUCUCAUUCCUAAGGUUUAUACAAGGGUGCCAGGUCUUUGCGGGGAAGAGGGGUGACUUGAAGUGAGUGGAAGUUAAAAAUGGUAGUACCCAGAAUUUCCUGCACUUUGGAGAAAAGGGACUAGGUGAGGUGCUCAGUGUUAGCCUAGGGCUUAGCUCUUACUCUAAUAGGACCUCUUUCCUCCUUCUCCCCUAAAUUUUUCCCACUGGUUAAAGAGAGAUCUGGAUGUCUAAACCUCCCAUCUUGACACCUUGGAGUUUAUUAAGCAGGUCCCCUCUCUGUAGCUUCCAAAGCCACGAAGAAAGGGAAGAAAGGCCAAGACAGGGGUAGAUAGAGGUGGCAGUGCCAUGGUGUCCAUCAGCACCCAAGGAGAAAGGCCAAGGAGAAGAAAGUGACUAGAGAGGAAGCCAGGAGGAGAUGCCUGCUCCUGAAACAGCAUUCUUACCCCAUCCUCUCCUGCUUCCCCACUCACAUGCUGACAGGGCUGUUUGCCCAAGUGUGGCAGCUCGCCUGGCUAGUGAUCCUGCUCUGCUGUGCAGGCAGCCAGCUCUCUGCCCCAGCACAGAGCACAUGCUGAGGUCUCUCACACUCCUUUGCUCACUCAUUUCCAUGUGUUAUGUUGCGGAUUCCUAGAAAUGAAGGAAGGGACUGUGGGCUUGAAGAUAGGAAGAUGGCAGGCUCUGGGGCCCAUUGGGCACAUAUCUGCCUGGCUGGAGGAAGGAAAGAGGAAGAAGGCUGCUGGUAGCUCAGCAAGCUCAAGGUUCUGGUGACUCACAGCAGUGGAGGUGGCUCACAAAAACAACAGAGGGGAAGGGGUCCAGGCCUGUUAGAGCUCUCUUUUGCCCCAUAUCUCCCCACUCUGAGCUCUGUGAAUGAAGGUGCCUCAUCUGGAUUGUGGAGCAGGGGAGGCCCCAACCAUGAAAAAAGAGGGAAAUGGGAGAGAAGAUAGCAGGGGAAACUGAGCAUUCCCAGUGAAAGGUAUCUCACUGAGGAAAGGAUAGGAGAGGCCAGUUAUUCUUGCCCUACUGUAUUCGUUGGGUGCACAGGGGGUAUGGGGCAUCCACCUGUGCUAGGGUAGCUCAGUGCCCCUGGGUACUUCACAGAAGAGGGGCUUCCUAGGCAAACACAAUUACUCCUCCCUGUCCUCUCUUGCCUGCCCAGAACUCUAGGUACCCAGCUGACACUAAAUUUUUAGAAGUAAAACAAGCUGUGUUAUAACACCAGAACCUGGAAGGAUAACUGCUAGGUCUCAGUACUCUCCUUUCUGGAAACAGACACGUGGGACAAGAGAGAAGUAGCUAGGGACUCCUACGUUGGCUGAACCAAGGUAGUGGUGCAGGCUGUGGAGGUGGGUGCAGAACCAUAGCUCUUCAGACAUGUCAAUUUCCUCUUCCCUUGUGUGCCAGGUGGGCAGUAUGCAUCGUCUCCAUUUUUCUGAAGGGGGGAUAAUAAGGUACUGUGUUUGAGGUCACACCAGGGAAAAGAGGCCAGAAAGUGGACCAGGAGAACAUUCAUGCCUUGGACUCCAGUCCCAGGGGCCUAUACUGGAUCUGGUAAAGAGUAACAGCUAGGAUAGCCGGGCAUGGCAGCUCACACCCGUAUUCCCAGCACUUUGGGAGUCCGAGGUGGGUGGAUCACGAGGUCAGGAGAUAGAGACCAUCCUGACCAACAUGGUGAAACCCCGUCUCUACUAAAAAUACAAAAAUCAGCUGGGUGUGGUGGUGGGCGCCUGUAGUCCCAGCUACACAGGAGGCUGAGGCAGGAGAAUCUCUUGAGCCCGGGAGGCAGAGGUUGCAGCGAUCUCUGAGUUGAGAUCGCGCCACUGCACUCCAGCCUUCCAGCCUGGGCAACAGAGCGAAACUCUGUCUCAAAAAAAAAAAAAAGUAACAGCGAUCUUACUUGCCAGCAUAUCCAGACACAUAAUAGUAAAUAUCCGGCUGGCGCAAUGGCUUACACCUGUAAUCCCAGCACUUUGGGAGGCCGAGGCAGGCGGAUCACAAGGUCAGGAGAUGGAGACUAUCCUGGCUAAUAUGGUGAAACCCCGUCUCUAUUAAAAAUGCAAAAAAUUAGCCGGGCAUGGUGGCAGGUGCCUGUAAUCCCAGCUACUCAGGAGGCUGAGGCAGGAGAAUCGCUUGAACCCGGGAAGCAGAGGUUGCAGUGAGCCGAGAUCACACCACUGCACCACUGUAAUCCAGCCUGGGUGACACAGCAAGACUCUGUCUCAAAAAAUUAAUUAAUUAAUUAAUUAAAAAAUAAACAUCCCAUCUUCAGAGAAGGAUGGACUAAGAGGAGGAGGGUUCUGUGACAGAGUCUGAGUUCUCAUUUGCCUAUUUCUGUUCCUUUCAUUGCUGGCAGCUCUGCUCUCCUGCCAGGAUGAGGGACCCUCUGCCCACUUGCUCCUGGUGGUCCAGAGAUGGCUUUGGUUAGAAAAAGGACAGAUGAUUAGCCACUCCUUGUGUAGGAAGACAGGAAGAGCUCCAUUCCCCAAGCUCUCCUGGGCAGUAUGAAAAGCCCCAGGUUCCCUGCUGGGACAUAUAUAAUAAAGCUCAGUGCUGAACUAAACCAACAACCUGGCCCUGGGUAUAAAAGUAGUACUGUGAGGGGGAUCUUGGGUCCACCAGGCCAGAUGUAAGCAGGUGUAGGGAGUUUAGCCCUGGGAGAGAUAUAAGAAGCAUGCCAUGGCCAGGCGCAGUGGCUUAUGCCUAUAAUCCCAGCACUUUGGGGGGCCGAGGUGGGCAGAUCGCUUGAGCUUAGGAGUUCGAGACCAGCCUGGGAAACAUAGUGAAACCUCAUCUCUACACACACACACACACACACACACACACACACACAAUUAGCCAGGUGUGGUGGCAUACAUCUCUAGUCCCAGCUACUUAGGAGGCUGAGGUAGGAGGAUUGCUUGAGCCUGGGAGGUGGAGAUUGCAGUAAGCCAAGAUUGUGCCGCUGCACUCCAGCCUGGGCAACAGAGUGAGACCCUGUCUCAAAAAAAAAAAA